GGGGGACGCUGAGGGGACUCAUGCGGCGGGUGCUGAAGGACGUGGGGCGCUGAGGGGAUGCAUGCGCGGGGCAGUGAGGGACAUGGGGACGCUGAGGCAGCGCACGCGGGCCACCAUCGGCCAAGGAUGAGACCAUUAGAACAUCUGCAAUGGGUUGAAACGCCUCGAAUGCAGUAAGAUCCAGGAGUUAUAACGAUACUAAAAAUAGCAACAAUGACCCAAGUCACCUUUGGACAUGCUAAAAACCAGCGGUACCUCAGGAUGACCAAAUAGUUGAUGAGAAAAAAUCCCUCUUCAGAAAAGUAUUACAGCUCACAGGUGAAGAAAGGAGACACAGAAUCGGAGCAUCUUCCCUCCGAAGCCCCACAAUGGAAUCACCGGUGCAGGGAGAUGGCCAGGCCUGCGGCACCCGAGAGAGGCCGUCUGACCCGGGUCCUCUGUGCAGGCAGAGCCCCCUCCGGUGUUGUGUUCCCGCCAAAACUGGCCGCGAAUCGCAGAUGAUGAUGCCGGGAUCCGCGCCCUUGCAGGAGAGACGGGGGUGUGGGGAGGAUGCCGGCAGCUCAGGGCACAGUCCAGACCUGGGGACACCACGGGACAAAAGACAAGUCACGAGAGGAAGAAGCGGAGAGAACCAAGGAUUUUUUCCUGGUUGGAAAAAACAGAGUCUUAAAAAUCCUGUGGGAUGCCAGGGAGUCCUGGGCGCUGAUAUCUGGUGGCAUUAAGGAGUCACCAUCAAUUAUUUUAGGCAUAAAUACAGAACUGGGGUUGGGUGGGGUGUUUGGUUCUUAUCUUUGAGAAUACUUUCUGAAGUGUUUAUGGAUAAAAUAAUAUGAUGUCUGGAACUGUUUUAAAAUAGCCCAGUGAGGAAGCGGGUGGGGUGCUGGCCUUGGCAGGAACACGGGGCCAUUGUGCUGGUCUCUCGCGUUGUGUUGGAACUCACUAUAAACAGCACCAGCGAGGGACGGCAGCCUGCCCUGUGCCUGCCCUGAGGUCACUCUCACUGUGAACUCGGCUCCCUCCAGCCCAGCUCUCACAGGGUCACAGGUGGUGGCUUCAGCCAAUGUCCUGUGCAGGCUUCUUCCUGAAGGAACACAGAGUCCUGAGAGUGGGAUUUCCUGUGGUGAUUCUUCGGUCUCAGAGUCCCGAGGGACACGCGUGUUUGAGAAUCUUCUCCAUGUCCAUCUGGAUGAUCUUCGCCUUCAUUCUCCUCUCCUAUUAAAUGGAGGCCAUCAGCACACUUAGACACGCCUGCCAGCUUUAAGAGUUUAGAGCUAAACAAAUGAAGCACACAGUGCACUUCAAAGACUUCGAGAGGAAGGCUCAGUGUGCACAGAGGCCCCAGGAACCCUGAGCUUCCCCAGGAUGCCCAUCCUGAGCCCUCGGGGGCCAUCUAACCCACUCAAACUCCAAACACUAGUCUCUCCCCCAUCACAAGGAAAGACAGGCAUGGUCCCCCACCCAUCAGCGGUGUUGCUGAAUCUGGCAGCCACUGUGUUUGUCAGACCUGCCUGCCUUGUUCAGCAGGGAAACCACUUGCUAUGAUGAAUGGAGCUGCAUGUGAAACUUAGAUAAGCAGGCAGGUCGAAAACACCUCCUGUGCCAGCAUUCCAGUUUUCUUGCUUGGCCCAAGAACCUGGUUUCAUUUUGGAAGGUGGAGGGAGUGUGUGGCGACCUUGUUGCCAUUUUCAGGCAUGGCUGGGCUCUCACACAGUCACUCUUAGAACAGACAUGUCCCUGCCUGGAGGCCAGGCCCUCUUGGGUUGUGGGAACCAAGCCCAAAAAUGUCAAACAAGUGGCAAAACCUUUAGGGUAAUUUUCCUCUAACUCAAAAAACACCUGGCCGCUUCUCCUCCCCAGAUGUUAAAGGUCCUUUUAUUAGCAUUGUCCUAUUGUGUUUUUUUCAUUUCUCAGACACAGACACAGGAAGCAUCAACUCUGAGGCUUUGGCCAGGAUGUGAGCCCGACUUUCGCAGCCCCAACUGGCAGGCUGACCUCAUGUGAACUCCCUGGCGAUGGCAUCCUGGAGACACCCACAUGGCUGAGCUGGCACCAUAGGCACUCAUAAUCCAGGUUCAGUUUCUGCCAGCACUAAUUUGGUUUAUUCCACAUGGCUGGAGCCACUGCGGGACUCCAUUUGUUCCGGGGCCACCUUCCUGUCACCUUUUACUGUUUCUUGAGUCAGCAAGAAAGGCAGAUCCGACUGAAGACUCCAGCACUCUCCUCAGCUGCAGCCCCCACAGAGCUCCGCGAAGUCCUUUCUCCCACAGGACAGAUCUGAGGCACCCACCAUUAGAAGAAAGGAGUGGAGAAAUGAUAUGCAGGAAGAAGGCCCAUUCUGAUUCACCAAUCGCAUGGACGCACUUUCCUACCAGGCUAGGAGGGAGGAAAGUAGAGCCCCACCCUGACUGCUAAGCCGUUUGCUUUGGUGUCAUGAAAAAAGAGUUCAGCUUCCCAAAUCAGAGAGGAAAAGGUUUUCAAGGGGUCCCCUAUUUCUAUUAUGUAAGCUUUAAAUGACAAAGUGGACCUCUGGGGCCAACGUGGGUGUGUGAUGGUGGUUUUGUGGGAUUCUCCCCAUAGCCCCAUCAGACGGCCUCACCUUCUGGGUCUCAGUGGCCCCAGGUGCAACACGGCUCCUCCAGAAAUGAUGACAGCCCUGGCGACCAAGGACUCCCUGUGCCACUGGGUUUGCGCUCAGAAGUAUAUUCAAUGAUUUCCCCAGAAAAUUCCAAGUCAUCUCCUAAUACUGUUUGUGAAAACUAAA
RNAcentral lists this long non-coding RNA (2761 nucleotides) under Homo sapiens (human). RNAcentral describes it as "HSALNT0375424". Lineage: Eukaryota; Metazoa; Chordata; Mammalia; Primates; Hominidae. The record is from RNAcentral.